GUGCCAGCAGCCGCGGUAAUACGUAGGGGGCAAGCGUUGUCCGGAUUUAUUGGGCGUAAAGAGCGUGUAGGCGGCCAUGCAGGUCAGCUGUGAAAACUCGAGGCUCAACCUCGAGACGUCGGUUGAAACCGUAUGGCUAGAGUCCGGAAGAGGAGAGUGGAAUUCCCGGUGUAGCGGUGAAAUGCGCAGAUAUCGGGAAGAACACCUAUGGCGAAGGCAGCUCUCUGGGACGGUACUGACGCUGAGACGCGAAAGCGUGGGGAGCAAACAGGAUUAGAUACCCUGGUAGUCC
RNAcentral lists this ribosomal RNA (292 nucleotides) under uncultured bacterium. RNAcentral's name for it is "partial 16S ribosomal RNA". It matches the Rfam family "Bacterial small subunit ribosomal RNA", at positions 505 to 796 of the family's 1533-position model. The record is from RNAcentral.